GAUGAAGAACGCAGCGAAAUGCGAUACUUGGUGUGAAUUGCAGAAUCCCGUGAACCAUCGAGUCUUUGAACGCAAGUUGCGCCCGAAGCCAUUAGGCCGAGGGCACGCCUGCCUGGGCGUCACACGUCGUUGCCCCCCCAUCUACUCCUUCGGGAUUGCGGGGGGCGGAUGAUGGCCUCUCGUGCGCCUCGUCGCGCGGUUGGCCUAAAUGCCAAGUCCUCGGCGACGCACGCCACGACAAUCGGUGGUUGCGAAACCACGGUUGCCUGUCGUGUGCGGUCGUCGCGCAUCGAGGGCUCGAAAAAAUUGCCGGGCUUCGGCUCGACUUUCAACGCGACCCCAGGUCAGGCGGGGUUACCCGCUGAAUUUAAGCAUAUCAAUAAGCGGAGGA
Molecule: unclassified non-coding RNA, 391 nt
Filed under: soil metagenome
Description: partial contains 5.8S ribosomal RNA, internal transcribed spacer 2, and large subunit ribosomal RNA
Rfam family: 5.8S ribosomal RNA (bases 1-122)
Source: RNAcentral